This 74-nucleotide transfer RNA is filed under the name Candidatus Omnitrophota bacterium. RNAcentral describes it as "Candidatus Omnitrophica bacterium (sediment metagenome) tRNA-Arg". It matches the Rfam family "tRNA". Rfam says of the family: Transfer RNA (tRNA) molecules are approximately 80 nucleotides in length. Their secondary structure includes four short double-helical elements and three loops (D, anti-codon, and T loops). Lineage: Bacteria; Pseudomonadati; Candidatus Omnitrophota. The record is from RNAcentral.
GGCCCCGUAGCUCAGUUGGAUAGAGCAACAGCCUUCUAAGCUGUGGGUCGCACGUUCGAUUCGGGCCGGGGUCA